Molecule: ribosomal RNA, 1602 nt
Filed under: uncultured Glomus
Lineage: Eukaryota; Fungi; Glomeromycota; Glomeromycetes; Glomerales; Glomeraceae
Description: eukaryotic LSU rRNA
Rfam family: Eukaryotic large subunit ribosomal RNA (bases 762-1602)
Source: RNAcentral
UAUUGUUCUUCAACGAGGAAUCCCUAGUAAGCACAAGUCACCAGCUUGUGCUGAUUACGUCCCUGCCCUUUGUACACACCGCCCGUCGCUACUACCGAUUGAAUGGCUUAGUGAGGCCCUCGGAUCGACUUUCUGAGACUGGCAACAGUCUUUGAUUGUUGAGAAGUUGGUCAAACUUGGUCAUUUAGAGGAAGUAAAAGUCGUAACAAGGUUUCCGUAGGUGAACCUGCGGAAGGAUCAUUAUUAUUUGGAUAGGGUUUAGCACUAAUUCGUCCUCUGUUGUAUUUGGUGGUAAACCUCUUCCAAAUAUAUUGUUACUCUUUUUUUUUUAAAAAAAGGAGCAAGAUGAUAUAUAUUUAAAACCCAACUCUUAUAUAUAAAAUAUGUAUAUUUUUGAAUAAUAAAAUUAAAGAUCACUUUCAACAACGGAUCUCUUGGCUCUCGCAUCGAUGAAGAACGUAGCGAAGUGCGAUAAGUAAUGUGAAUUGCAGAAUUCCGUGAAUCAUCGAAUCUUUGAACGCAAAUUGCACUUUCUGGUAUUUCGGAAAGUAUGCCUGUUUGAGGGUCAGUUAAAUAAAAAUCGGUGUUAUUGCUUAUUUAAUGGUGAUGCAUCAGAAUUGAGUCGUCUUUACCUUUGGUUUUAAGUGACUUAAAAAUUUUGUACGAUUUUUGAACGUAUUUAAAUUUUUUACGUACGUUUAUAAUAUCAUAUAUUAGGCGUGGUCAUUUUUAUGACUUCGCGUCUAUAAUUUUUCAUUAUUUGACCUCAAAUCAGGUAAGAAUACCCGCUGAACUUAAGCAUAUCAAUAAGCGGAGGAAAAGAAAAUAACAAUGAUUCCCUUAGUAACGGCGAGUGAAGGGGGAUAAGCUCAAAUUUUAAAUCUGCUAGGUUUUACUUAUCAGAGUUGUAAUUUGAAGAAGCGUUUUCCGCGUCUCGGUUGACCCAAAUCCUUUGGGAUAUGGUAUCAUGGAGGGUGAGAAUCCCGUCCGGUUGACUUUGUGACGCUUUACGAUACGUUUUCAAAGAGUCGAGUUGUUUGGGAUUGCAGCUCAAAAUGGGAGGUAAAUUUCUCCUAAGGCUAAAUAUUGGCGAGAGACCGAUAGCGAACAAGUACCGUGAGGGAAAGAUGAAAAGAACUUUGAAAAGAGAGUUAAACAGUACGUGAAAUUGUUGAAAGGGAAACGCUUGAAACCAGUCAUGCUGGCGUGAAAUCAGCCGUGUCGGAGGUCGCGUGCUUGGUAUCGGGAGGGUAACCCCCGUGCUAUGUUCGGCGUCCGUCGUUACGGUGCACUUUCGCGCACGCAGGUCAGCGUCAGCUUCGAUCGCGGGAAAACAACCUCGGGAAGGUGAUCAUCGGUUCGCCGGUGGUGUUAUAGCCCUUGGUCCAUACCGCGUGUCGGGGCUGAGGAUCGCAGCGCACGCUUUCGGGCUUCGCGCCUGGAGACUGGUCGUCGCCGGACGGCAGACAGCUUGCUGACUGUCGACUGAACGUCGCCCAACUCUCUAGACCGACGAUAUGUGCGCUUAGGAUGCUGACGUAAUGGUUUUAAACGACCCGUCUUGAAACACGGACCAAGGAGUCUAACAUAUAUGCGAGUGUU